GUUACCAUUACAUUACGGCUGUUAGAGGCCUACUUCUAUUACUUGCGGUGAUGCAGGGCAUUUUUAGGUGAAGAAGCCAAUCAAACAAAAAUGGAAGCAUGCUGAUGUGAAAAGGUUUGGGGUGGGGGGAGAAAAGGGGGGAAGAGGGGGGGCUGCAGGGGGGCGGGCUUAGGAGGAUAGCAAUUUCUAGCAAGUUUGGGCCAAGGUGAUUUUUGGGACUGCAUAUCCCACGCCCGAAUGUGAGAUUUCCCAUGCCCAGGUUUGAGACUCUCUGGACAGCAGGAGCAGCUACGUUUAUUAUUAU
Molecule: unclassified non-coding RNA, 304 nt
Filed under: Hevea brasiliensis (rubber tree)
Lineage: Eukaryota; Viridiplantae; Streptophyta; Magnoliopsida; Malpighiales; Euphorbiaceae
Source: RNAcentral